This 1323-nucleotide long non-coding RNA is filed under the name Mustela putorius furo (domestic ferret). Its description in RNAcentral is "lncRNA (ENSMPUG00000025181.1)". The record is from RNAcentral. Lineage: Eukaryota; Metazoa; Chordata; Mammalia; Carnivora; Mustelidae.
UGGAGCCAGUGGGCUAGUUUGAGUUGAUCCUUCUCAUAGUAAAUGGUAGAACAAAAGGGCAAACUGUAGUAGGCAAUGCCACCUCAGAACUUUGCUAGAAGCACAUUUGCUAAUAUCUCAAAUACUGUUGCCAAAUAUGACUCAGUUGAAUCAACAGUAACUUUGCCCAGGAUGGGAGGAUCCUGUAAAGUCACGUGGCAAAGCGUGUGGUACAGAAGGAGUGAGAAAGCGAGACUAUUAAUGCAAUCUAUUACGGGUCUUUAUCAGAAUAUGAGCAAUCCCAAGAGCACCGGGCCGGCCCAGUCUGCCCUUGCUCUAGGGAAAGCAAGCAGCCGUGCUGUGACUACCACUAUAAAGAUGCCCAUUUAGCCAGGAAUUGUCUCUGGCCACCUGUCAGUGAGGACCUGAGUCCUGACCACAGUCACAUGAGUGAGUCUGGAAGUGGAUCCUUCCCUAGUCAAGACUUGAGGGUUAAAUGGGCUUAUUAAUAGAGGUAAAACAUGUAGAACAAUUUUGGCAACUAGUAAAAGCUUAAUACACUCUACCAGUAUUAUUUCUGAGCUCAUCUUUCCAUAUCUGUUAAAUGGGGGCAAUAAUAUCUAUUUCAUAGGAUUGUUGUAAGUAUUAAAUGAAGUAAUGUCUUGGUAAGCAUUUAGGGAAUAGUCAUUACUGUUAUCCUAACAGUUUAACUACUGUUUUUUUUUUUUUUUAAAGAUUUUAUUUUUAAGUCCUCCCCACACCCAAUCUGGGGCUCCAAGCCACAACCCCGAGAUCAACAGUCACAUGUUUUACCAACUGAGCCCAGCCAGGUGCUCCUAACUGCUGUUUUUUUUAAAAAUAGGAAUUGAAUUUUGUUCACCUUUGGAUCCCCUAAUACAACAGAAUAUAUAGGUAACUAAUACUUUCAAAUUAAUUGACAAAUUUCAUGGGUCUUCAUAUACAUCAAAAACAAAAACAAAAACCAAGCUUCAUAGACUUAGAUAAAUCAUUUAAAUUUUGUGUUUUUAUCUACUAAGUGAUGGCACUAGACUUAUUCUUUCUGAUCUUCAAGCUUCAUUCAUUCAUUCAUUCAUUCAUUCACUUGUGCAUUUGUUGGAUAAAUAUUUACAGGAUCCCAACUGUAUGUCAUUCUCUGUGCUUGAUGUUGAAAGUCAGUUAUAAGCAAAACACAUGCGGCCUGUCCUCUCAUAAAGUUUACAGUCUAAUGGGAGGAAGAGGUAAAAUAAAGAAUUGCACAUAAAUCUACAAUUAAAAACUGUAAUACAAUCCAUGAAAGAAAGGUUCAGGGAGGCAUGAGAAAUGUUAGAGUGAGAACUGGGCCCA